UGGGGAAUAUUGGACAAUGGGCGCAAGCCUGAUCCAGCCAUGCCGCGUGUGUGAAGAAGGCCUUCGGGUUGUAAAGCACUUUUGUCCGGAAAGAAAAGCUUCGGGUUAAUACCCCGGGGUUCUGACGGUACCGGAAGAAUAAGCACCGGCUAACUUCGUGCCAGCAGCCGCGGUAAUACGAAGGGUGCAAGCGUUACUCGGAAUUACUGGGCGUAAAGCGUGCGUAGGUGGUUUGUUAAGUCUGAUGUGAAAGCCCUGGGCUCAACCUGGGAAUUGCAUUGGAUACUGGCAGGCUAGAGUGCGGUAGAGGAUGGCGGAAUUCCCGGUGUAGCAGUGAAAUGCGUAGAGAUCGGGAGGAACAUCUGUGGCGAAGGCGGCCAUCUGGACCAGCACUGACACUGAGGCAUGAAAGCGUGGGGAGCAAACAGGAUUAGAUACCCAUGUAGUCCCUGAGCGGGCUGGCAAGGCGCAU
Molecule: ribosomal RNA, 472 nt
Filed under: uncultured bacterium
Lineage: Bacteria
Description: bacterial SSU rRNA
Rfam family: Bacterial small subunit ribosomal RNA
Source: RNAcentral